CACGUAGUUAGCCGGGGCUUCUUACUCAGGUACCGUCAUUUAUUCUUCCCUGCUGAUAGAGCUUUACAUAACGAAUUACCUCUUCACUCACGCGGCGUCGCUGCAUCAGGGUUCCCCCCAUUGUGGCAAUAUCCCCCACUGCUGCCUCCCGUAGGAGUCUGGGCCGUGUCUCAGUCCCAAUGUGGCCGUCCGCCCUCUCAGGCCGGCUACUGAUCGUCGCUUUGGUAGGCCGUUACCCUGCCAACUGGCUAAUCAGACGCGGGCCCAUCGUAUACCGUCUCGGCUUUUCACACUCCAGUAUGCACUGCUGUGCGCUUAUGCGGUAUUAGCACCUAUUUCUAAGUGUUAUCCCCCUGUAUACGGUAGGUUGCCCACGCGUUACUCACCCGUCCGCCACUAAGAUACAUUUUCCUCAGACGAAUCCUCAUUCCAAUAUAUCCCCGUUCGACUUGCAUGUGUUAGGCACGCGCCAGCGUUCAUCCUGAGCCAGG
Molecule: ribosomal RNA, 491 nt
Filed under: uncultured Lachnospiraceae bacterium
Lineage: Bacteria; Bacillati; Bacillota; Clostridia; Lachnospirales; Lachnospiraceae
Description: partial 16S ribosomal RNA
Source: RNAcentral